Molecule: ribosomal RNA, 492 nt
Filed under: uncultured bacterium
Lineage: Bacteria
Description: partial 16S ribosomal RNA
Rfam family: Bacterial small subunit ribosomal RNA
Source: RNAcentral
AGUGAACGCUGGCGGUAGGCCUAACACAUGCAAGUCGAACGGCAGCACAGUAAGAGCUUGCUCUUACGGGUGGCGAGUGGCGGACAGGUGAGGAAUACAUCGGAAUCUACUUUUUCGUGGGGGAUAACGUAGGGAAACUUACGCUAAUACCGCAUACGACCUACGGGUGAAGGCAGGGGAUCUUCGGACCUUGCGCGAUUGAAUGAGCCGAUGUCGGAUUAGCUAGUUGGCGGGGUAAAGGCCCACCAAGGCGACGAUCCGUAGCUGGUCUGAGAGGAUGAUCAGCCACACUGGAACUGAGACACGGUCCAGACUCCUACGGGAGGCAGCAGUGGGGAAUAUUGGACAAUGGGCGCAAGCCUGAUCCAGCCAUACCGAGUGGGUGAAGAAGGCCUUCGGGUUGUAAAGCCCUUUUGUUGGGAAAGAAAAGCAGCAGGUUAAUACCCCGCUGUUCUGACGGUACCCAAAGAAUAAGCACCGGCUAACUUCGUG